UAAAAUGGGAGGUAAAUUUCUCCUAAGGCUAAAUAUUGGCGAGAGACCGAUAGCGAACAAGUACCGUGAGGGAAAGAUGAAAAGCACUUUGAAAAGAGAGUUAAAUAGUACGUGAAAUUGUUGAAAGGGAAACGAUUGAAGCCAGUCGUACCGACGGAGAAUCAACCUCUAGAGUGCGGGAUGCGGGUAUUCGGGGAGUUAAAACCUUCGUGUGCUUGUAAUUUCGUGCUUCUGAGGUGCACUUCUUCGUAUUGGUAGGUUAACAUCAAUUUUGGACGUUACAAAAUGAUCGGGGGAAUGUAGCUUCGAUUUUUCGAAGUGUUAUAGCCCUUGGUAGAUGUGACGACCGGGAUUGAGGAUUGCAACGAAUGCUUUCGGGCUAUCCGUCUGGCCUCUGGUGGUCCCCUUGGGGUCGAAAGCUUGCUUACGGCUUCUWGGCUGGCUGUCAAAAGGUUAGAACGCGAUUAUA
Molecule: ribosomal RNA, 469 nt
Filed under: uncultured Glomeraceae
Lineage: Eukaryota; Fungi; Glomeromycota; Glomeromycetes; Glomerales; Glomeraceae
Description: eukaryotic LSU rRNA
Rfam family: Eukaryotic large subunit ribosomal RNA
Source: RNAcentral